UACGUAGGUUCCGAGCGUUAUCCGGAUUUACUGGGCGUAAAGCGCGUUCAGGCGGUUUGGCAAGUCGGGCAUGAAAUCUCUCGGCUCAACCGGGAGAGGUUGUCCGAUACUGCUGGACUUGAGGGCAGUAGAGGGUGGUGGAAUUCCGGGUGUAGUGGUGAAAUGCGUAGAUAUCCGGAGGAACACCAGUGGCGAAAGCGGCCACCUGGACUGCACCUGACGCUGACACGCGAAAGCUAGGGGAGCGAACGGG
This 253-nucleotide ribosomal RNA is filed under the name uncultured bacterium. RNAcentral's name for it is "partial 16S ribosomal RNA". It matches the Rfam family "Bacterial small subunit ribosomal RNA", at positions 524 to 776 of the family's 1533-position model. The record is from RNAcentral.